GUUCUUGUAGCUUAAACACCAAAGCAUAACAUUGAAAAUGUUAAUAUGGGCAACUCAGCCCCGAGCAACA
RNAcentral lists this transfer RNA (70 nucleotides) under Paleosuchus trigonatus (Schneider's dwarf caiman). Its description in RNAcentral is "tRNA-Phe". Lineage: Eukaryota; Metazoa; Chordata; Crocodylia; Alligatoridae. The record is from RNAcentral.